CUGGCAGCCAGGGGAGGCUCCCUCAGCCUGGAUUGCGAGAGGGUGCAGGCCAGGCCGAGGGACCCCACCAGUGCAUG
Myotis lucifugus (little brown bat) is the source of this 77-nucleotide non-coding RNA. The record is from Rfam. NCBI's taxonomy places the organism in Eukaryota, Metazoa, Chordata, Mammalia, Chiroptera, Vespertilionidae.